Molecule: transfer RNA, 73 nt
Rfam family: tRNA
About the family: Transfer RNA (tRNA) molecules are approximately 80 nucleotides in length.
GCUUUUAAAGGAUGAUAGCUAAUCCAUUGGUCUUAGGAACCAAAAUUCCUUGGUGCAAACCCAUGUAAAAGCU